CAGCCAAGUCGUGAGGCGGAGCUAAUCCCUUAAAGCCAUUCUCAGUUCGGAUUGUAGGCUGAAACUCGCCUACAUGAAGCUGGAGUUACUAGUAAUCGCAGAUCAGAAUGCUGCGGUGAAUGCGUUCCCGGGUCUUGUACACACCGCCCGUCACACCACGGAAGUUGGGGGCGCCCGAAGCCACUUAGCUAACCCUUUUGGGAAGCGAGUGUCGAAGGUGAAAUCAAUAACUGGGGUGAAGUCGUAACAAGGUAUC
RNAcentral lists this ribosomal RNA (256 nucleotides) under uncultured bacterium. RNAcentral's name for it is "partial 16S ribosomal RNA". It matches the Rfam family "Bacterial small subunit ribosomal RNA", at positions 1247 to 1500 of the family's 1533-position model. The record is from RNAcentral.